CAGGCAGGGAUACCCGCUGAACUUAAGCAUAUCAAUAAGCGGAGGAAAAGAAACCAACAGGGAUUGCCUCAGUAACGGCGAGUGAAGCGGCAACAGCUCAAAUUUGAAAUCUGGCUCUUUUAGGGUCCGAGUUGUAAUUUGUAGAGGAUGCUUCGGCGUCGGCUCCGGUCUAAGUUCCUUGGAACAGGACGUCAUAGAGGGUGAGAAUCCCGUAUGUGAUCGGUUGCCCUUGCCAUGUGAAGCUCCUUC
This 249-nucleotide ribosomal RNA is filed under the name uncultured Cenococcum. RNAcentral's name for it is "partial 28S ribosomal RNA". It matches the Rfam family "Eukaryotic large subunit ribosomal RNA", at positions 12 to 258 of the family's 3401-position model. Lineage: Eukaryota; Fungi; Ascomycota; Dothideomycetes; Gloniales; Gloniaceae. The record is from RNAcentral.